RNAcentral lists this non-coding RNA (24 nucleotides) under Mus musculus (house mouse). Lineage: Eukaryota; Metazoa; Chordata; Mammalia; Rodentia; Muridae. The record is from RNAcentral.
UACAGCUGGACAGAAUGGUCAUCU